This 77-nucleotide transfer RNA is filed under the name Planctomycetota bacterium. RNAcentral describes it as "Planctomycetes bacterium tRNA-His". It matches the Rfam family "tRNA". Rfam says of the family: Transfer RNA (tRNA) molecules are approximately 80 nucleotides in length. Their secondary structure includes four short double-helical elements and three loops (D, anti-codon, and T loops). Lineage: Bacteria; Pseudomonadati; Planctomycetota. The record is from RNAcentral.
GUGGGUAUAGCUCAGUUGGUUAGAGCACCAGAUUGUGGUUCUGGGGGUCGGGGGUUCGAGUCCCCUUACCCACCCCA